This 389-nucleotide ribosomal RNA is filed under the name Dactylopius opuntiae. RNAcentral's name for it is "partial small subunit ribosomal RNA". The record is from RNAcentral. Lineage: Eukaryota; Metazoa; Arthropoda; Insecta; Hemiptera; Dactylopiidae.
ACAAAAAAUUUUUCUAAUUCUUCUUAAUUAUCAUCUAUAUAUUGAUCUAUCAUUAAAUUUAAAUUAAAUAUGUUAAAUUACAUUCAAAUAAUUCAUUAACAACUAUAUAUAAAAAAUAAAUUAAAUGAAAUUCAAAGUGUAAUUUCCACUUAAAGAACAAGAUUCUUUAAUAAUUAAGUACCGCCAAAUAAACUAACUUUAACUAUUACAUUAAUUACUAUUUAAAUUUCAUUAAUUUUUCUAGGGUAUCUAAUCCUAUUAACUUAAAUUAAUUAAAAUUGAAAAUUCAUAAUCAAAUUAAAAUCUAAAAAUUUCACUUAAAUAUUUUAAUUAAAAUCAAACCUAAAUUUCAAGUACAAAGAAAUUUUAAUUUCACCAAUCAUGUAUAA